UACGGGGGGGGCAAGCGUUGUUCGGAAUUACUGGGCGUAAAGGGUUUGUAGGUGGCUUGCUAAGUCAGACGUGAAAUCCCUCAGCUUAACUGGGGAACUGCGUCUGAGACUGGCAAGCUUGAGUGCAGGAGAGGAACGCGGAAUUCCAGGUGUAGCGGUGAAAUGCGUAGAUAUCUGGAGGAACACCGGUGGCGAAGGCGGCAUCCUGGACCAAUUCUGACGCUGAGUGAGCGAAAGCCAGGGGAGCAAACGGG
Molecule: ribosomal RNA, 254 nt
Filed under: uncultured bacterium
Lineage: Bacteria
Description: partial 16S ribosomal RNA
Rfam family: Bacterial small subunit ribosomal RNA
Source: RNAcentral